GAUGAAGAACGCAGCGAAAUGCGAUACGUAAUGUGAAUUGCAGAAUUCAGUGAAUCAUCGAAUCUUUGAACGCACAUUGCGCCCGCCAGCACUCUGGCGGGCAUGCCUGUUCGAGCGUCAUUUCAACCAUCAAGCCCCAGGCUUGCGUUGGAGCCCUGCGGCUGCCGCAGCCUCCUAAAAGCAGUGGCGGGCUCGCUAUCACACCGAGUGCAGUAGAUUACUCUUCGCUCAGGGCGUGCAGCGGGUUCCGGCCGUGAAAACCCCUACUUUUAAAGGUUGACCUCGGAUCAGGUAGGAAUACCCGCUGAACUUAAGCAUAUCAAUAAGCGGAGGA
Molecule: unclassified non-coding RNA, 334 nt
Filed under: soil metagenome
Description: partial contains 5.8S ribosomal RNA, internal transcribed spacer 2, and large subunit ribosomal RNA
Rfam family: 5.8S ribosomal RNA (bases 1-120)
Source: RNAcentral